This is a long non-coding RNA of Anopheles coluzzii, 3396 nucleotides long. RefSeq lists it as uncharacterized. The record is from RefSeq and is a predicted model, not a curated record. The transcript is spliced from 4 exons. NCBI's taxonomy places the organism in Eukaryota, Metazoa, Arthropoda, Insecta, Diptera, Culicidae.
ACAUUUUGUAAUUAUUUUCAAAAAAAUCCUGCCAACUUUGAAAAGCUAUAACUAAAAAACGGUAGCGAGUUGAACCAAUCUAUGCACAGUUAUAGAAACUGCAUUAGUUUUUUUAAUUUUCAUCAGAAUAUUGCAUCAAUAUUGGAUUACCCAUUCAAAAGUUAUAAGCUUCCAAAGUUGCUGGCUACCCGGGUAGCCCGGUUGCCUGGAAUAGGGGUAUUGAAAAAUUUAAUUCUAAAAAACAGGUUAUUUAUACUCAAAAAAUUCUACGAAAAAUUUCAGUGAAAGAUGGCUGUGGAUUACACACAUAUUCCAAAUUUCAAGUCAAUCGGAUUCCUAUAAUCAGAGAAAUGAGCAAUCAAAAUCGAUCAAAAUCGUUGCCUGGAAUAGGGUUAACCCACGCUCUCGAUCACGCUGGUUUUCGCUGGUCUUUUCGGGGAUAGUUCGUUAACGAAUUAUCCCCGAAAAGACCAGCGAAAUACAGAUCAUUUUCGGGGAUAGUGAACACACGUGAAGGAUGAACCCAUGCAAAAAAGAGCUAAAAAUAGAAAUGAACAUUCGGAUUCAUUCCCUUCCCUCAUAUUCCAAUUCAUGCUCAUGCUUCAUCCUUGAUGCUACCAACCACAUCGCUAUUUCUACUUCGAAUCACUUUGCCAGUUGCGCCACCAUAUUAUUAUUCAUGAUCGUACUAUUUGCUUGUUUUGUUGUAUGAAGGGGUACUGAUACUAAAUGAAUUAAAAGAAAUAAAUAAAACAAUAAAAAUAAUAGAUUGACUAUUAAACACGCAUUUCUAACAAUGAGUAAAGGGGUCUGAAGUUACUGGAGCUGCAUGUUUUAAAAAGAAAUCAAAACUUUAAAUCAUCCAAUAAAAACAAUAAAAAUGGAAUUGAACUCAUGUCGACCAUGGUGCAAACAUUACACCAUUACCAUUUGACCACUACAGGCGGUCCCCGAGAUACACGGUACCUCUUAUACGCGGAUUCGGAGAUACGCGGUUUUCUAAAUUUGACAAUUCUUUGAGCAAAUUGUACUGAUUUGACACAUCAAUUUUAAAUUGCCAAAUAAUUUCCGUUUUGAUCGAAUGUUAAAAACUAUUUCAAAUGGUUUAAAACUGUUAUAUUCAGUAAGAAUCAUAUCAACUAAUUCAUAAAGUAACUAUAACCUCCCCCUACUUGCAAAGUUACACGAACAUUACUGAUAUUUUAGCUGGAAACCACGAGAUUCGACUUACGCGGAAAUUCGAGAUACGCGGUAUUUUGUUGCCGUUUUCGGUCCCCAUUAACCGUGUAUCUCGGGGACCGCCUGUACUAGUUCAUGAACAUGAAUCGUUAUCUAUCAGUUUUAAACCCUUCAAAUAUAGCACAAUGAACAAAGAGAUGUGUAAAAGUUCAUCGAUGCGUGUGAGAGAGUAGAGCUGAUGAAUAGAAAUAGAUGGCAUGAGUUUAUGUUCAUUAUCCCCGAAAAAUUUCGCUUGGGAAGUUGGCAACCGGAUACCCGGGUAUUUUUUUAACUUUAAACUGCAAUAACUUUUGAUUCAUUGCUUUUAUUGACCUGAAAUUUUCCGAAGCCUCCCAACUUUUAAUUUCUGAUUUUUUGGUGCAUAAGUUGUAAUUUUAAACAGCCUAUAAGUAUUUUAUUUUGAUUUUUUUUAACUUUACCACGUAAGUUGGCAACCAGCAUACCCGUGUAUUCCAUAUACGGACGUCACACGAAGCGUUAACUUUGGCGUAAACUGGAUUUCAGCCAUGCAACCCUGAAAUCUUUUGACAGGAAGUUUACGCUCUCCCAUACAAAUCAAGCGUAAACUUUUUGAGUUUACGCCUCGUGUGACGUCCGUAUAAUACGGACGUCACACGAAGCGUAACCGUAGCAAUAGACGAUGCGCAAUCUCAGAUUGCGCAUAUAUUUAUCUGUCAAACGGCCCGAUUUGAUAUAUUUAUCUGUCAAAAAAUAUUUAUAUAUCUCGGACAUAUAAAUCUCGAAAAUUCAUGCGCAAUCUUAGCGCAAUCUUGGAUUAAUACGUUUGUUUACAUAUAGCGGUAGGUAUUGAAACGAAAAAAUAUGAGAUGAGCGUUGAUUUUUGAGCCAAAAAUCUAAUUAAAUUUUGAUUACAGCCAUGGAGAACGAAUCGCCGAACGUGCCGAAUCGCCGGAACUAUAUAAAAUUGCUCUUUGAGAACUGACCUGGCUGUACCACGGGAUGUUAUGUUUCUUAUUAGUCCGCAUACACUAAUAAUCGUUUGGAAUUCUGGAAUGUAGGUUAUGCGGUUUUGGUCUUCUUCCAACAGGAAAUCUUUCUUAUAUUUCGGAAUACCAACUAUUCCUGCUGGCCCUGCUUUCCUGCACCAUUUUUGCUGCAACCUCUACCCCAACUGCUACAAUGGAAGCUAUUGCUGUUGCCGCUGCGAUUAAAAAAAACUUUCUUAUUUUUACAGGAACGUUUAUGUAUAUUUAAAUAUUUUAUAUUACAGCUCUCCCGAGUUAGAGGACUGAUAAUGGAAGAAAACUGCUGCAUCUUCCGGGCCAUCAAAAUAAUAACGGGGUCAUGGGGAUGGUGAAUGAAUAGAGUCGAGAUUAAUCGUUUUUUUAUUAUUGAUUUGCUUCCAGAAUGUUGAGAAAAGCCUUCGGCUAAUUGCCGAGGUGGAACGACGGCCUGCUUUAUGGCAAAAGCGGUCGGAGUUCUACAAAAACGGUAUUCGGCGAAGGGAUGCGUGGACCGAGAUUGGUGGACUCUCGGACCUCACCGUCGAAGAGGCGAGCUACCAGUGGAGGAAGCUGCUGACCAGCUACAGGACUUAUAAGUCCAAGCUGCGUAAAAGUCAGCAAAGCGGAGCAGCGGCUGAGGACGUCUUCCACCCAAGAUGGUUCGCCUUCGACGCGAUGAGGUUCCUCGAUGAUACCAUGAAGGACGGCACGCAUCUCGAUACGUUCGAUGACGACCUAGAACAAGACACCUCCACCCAAGCCCACCCAAUCCCUUCUUGUUCCUAUUCCUCAAUUCCGCCCCAACCAACAAUCCCAGCACCAACAAUCCCAGCACCAACAAUCCCAGCACCAAAUCCAGCACCAACAACAGCACGAACUACAGCACCAACUACAGCACCAACCCCAGCACGAACUCCAGUACCGAUCCCAGCACCAAUCCGAGCAACAACAACUCCAGCACCAACCCCAGCACAAACCCCAGCACCGACCCCAGCACCGACCCCAGCACCAAGCCCAGCACCCACUCCAGCGAUGGAAAAUUAUUUGUCCAUGUUUGGCCAGUGGGUGGGGGCAUGGUUAAUCCAUUUACCACCAGACCAACAAAACGAUGCCACUAAUCGUUUGCGGCAGACGAUGCUGGAGUGGGAUCUGGAACACAAUAAAAAAUAAAAUAAAAAAAAUUACAAAAACA